Nasonia vitripennis (jewel wasp) is the source of this 9330-nucleotide RNA transcript. RefSeq lists it as uncharacterized. The transcript has 22 exons. Lineage: Eukaryota; Metazoa; Arthropoda; Insecta; Hymenoptera; Pteromalidae. The record is from RefSeq and is a predicted model, not a curated record.
CUUACCCAUACUGCGCCCGGUCAGACUCUCACAGCCCAGCGCAGUGUCUUUUCUCUCUCUCGCUCACACACGUGCGUGCGCGGCUUUUUGUGUGCAGCGCUAUAUAGCUGCUCCCGCGCGCGCUCUGCUCCCAUAUAUACUCCGUGUAUACAUGCAACUACGUAUACACAUACACGCAGUGUAGCAGCAGCUCGAUUCCUCGGCGCUCUCCGCUGUCAACUCUCUGCGUGUGCGAGAGAGGAGAGCCCAGCAGCAGCAGCAGCAGCGUUAGUUAUACCACUACUCUCCUCCUCCGCGUCCUCGCAGAGCGAGAGAGAGAGAGAGCCAGUUCGAUUUUUCGCGUGUAACCGUCGUCGCGCGCGUGCACCAGCAGUAGUGUCCUGCGAGCUACGCCUCCAGCAUCUCUCUUUCUCGUCGGUCGCUGCAGUUUGUUGUUAUUAUAUUAUUACACGCUUUUUGUCCCUCUCUCUCUCUCUCUCAACCAGCCUCUGUGUGCGCGCACGGGUUAUAUUGAAGAAAAAAGAGGAGAGAGAGAGAGAGAGAGAGAGCCGAAGGGAAUGUGCGUGCCUGCCCUCCUCGCGUGUACGAAGAGGAGGAGGAGGAGGAGGACCUGCCAGUGCGUGUCGUCGGAGCCGCUCCUCUGCAGCUGCUGGAUUUCUCGCCGCUGGUGAUGAUCCUCGCUUGAUGCGUUCUCUCGGUCUCUGUUUUCGUGGUGCCGUAUACACGUAUUGUACACAUUGAGUGCGGAACCCUGUGGAUGCAGGAUAUAUAUCUACGUAUGCGCCGCACCGCCGCCGCUGCUACUGAGGAGGAUAUUGACACGAGGAGAGCAGCGGCCUGAGAGUUGCGAGGCUGAGUCGAGUCGUCGUCUUGCACAACGGCUUAUACAUUUCACUGCGGUCGCGCAGAAAGUGAAAUCAUGACUCGAUCUCGCUUGUCGCAGCAGCAGUGCGGCUCGAUCGCGGCAGUAGCAGUCGCCAGUAGCUACGGCAGUACGAACACGUGAACCGGAAAGAAAAGUAUCCGCGCAACCGAGAGAGGAAUAGCGGCGUUGAGGUGAAAAUGCGCCGAGGAUAAUACAGCAGCGAGGGAAGGAAGAUGGAGGAGAUUCGCGGAACGCCAGCCCGAAGGCUUUCGCAGAUCCUCGACCCGAUCGCCAGGCUGACCUCGGAACUGGGCUCGAGCUCCUCGGCGCCUUGCAGUCCCCGUCUGGGCUCGAGACACCACGAUGCCUGCUGCAGCACUUCUGGACCAUCGUCGCUGGGCCCCGAAACGUCGAGGGGCCUGCCGGGGCCCGACAGUCCCAGGCUGAUGCCGCGCAAAGGGCGCCAGGGUCCCACCCCACCACCGAGGCCCAGGAACAACAACAGCGCCAGUAGUACCAACAGUCCGGUACACUACAGGGACUCGCCCUACGUAAAUGUGUCCAACCUUAUCUUCCAGAAGGACAAGAGCUUCGCCGAGACGGCCAAGAGCGCGGGCUACGUCGAGCUGAAAGACAGCAGCGGAAGUGGAAGCGGAAGCGGCAGCAGUACCGGAAACAACUCCAAAACCAAGUGCAGUCCGUUCAACUUCACGUCGGAUCCCAGCGGUCACGUGGAGUAUGUUGAUGGCAGGCAGUACGUUGGCCAGCUAAGCAGCCUAGACUUUGGGCCCACCUGUUACGAGAAUAAGGCCCACGACAUACAGAACAUGCAGCAGGUCUUGAACAGAGGGCGCUCGCCGUUCGAGCCAGGGACUUCCGGUGCGAGCAGAAGUCCAUUCGAGAAGAGCUUCUCGGUGACCGGUAGGCAGCAGCCCGAGACGCAAAGCGCCAGACACUUCCUGCUAGGUGAUAAGGGCUUGACAAGUAAUUUGCCGCCUGUGAUUGGGACGCAGGAGGUGGUUAAGGAACCAAAAGGAUUCGGUUCUUCCAAAAGCUUCGAUGGAUACUCCAACACGGUAGAGGAACUCAACUGGCAGGAAAGGUGCUUGGAACUGCAGCUGGAGCUUCACAGGAGCAGGAACCAGGCCAGCAGGGUGCGAGACAUGCUGCGAGAAAAGCUAUCGGAGUUGGAGCAGCGCGUCCUGGAGGCGGAGGGACGAGCCGACGAGGCGGAGGACAAGGUACGGAUGAUGGAGGAGCGGCUAGUGAAGGGUGAAUACUGCCUGAGCACCUCCGGAGUCGGUUCUCCACCACACUCCCUGCCUUCUACCUCCGGCGCACAGAAUGACAAGAUCGAGGAGGUUCACUGCGCCUGCAUCUCCAAACUAGAGACUCAAGUCGAGGAACAGCGGCAAUUGCGACUUCAAGACGCCCGGCAAGUCGAGGCGAAAGCCGCUCGCAUCAAGGAGUGGGUGACGAACAAGCUGCGCGAACUCGAGCAGCAGAAUCAGCACCUGCGCGAGCAGAACAACAAGUGCAACCAGCAGCUCGAGCUGCUUCGCAAUCACAUCACCAACAUCGGCCUCAGACCGCCGCUGCCGACGCGAGCCUCCUUAUCUCUGGAAGUCGAUUCGAGCCUGCGCAGACGCUCGGAGGUACUCGAGGGCACGGCCCAGGUGGUGGAGCCGGGCAGUGUAGCAGCCGCCGGACAAGUUGCCCACUCGGCCGUUGGAGCCUCGUCCAGUGGAGCUGAGCCGCAGACCACCGCUGCGGCCACCAGGCAUCGAAGGCAUCUCUCGGCUUGUGGCACCAUUCAGCAGCCUAUUCCUAACGUCAACAUGGAUUCGAGCCUCCUUUCCGAAGAGCUGGCCGCCGCAGUGGAGAACCUGGUGAUGUUGCCCAGCAGUAUCCCGGGUACAGCCGCAGCCUCGACCGCCGCCUCGGAGAGCAUGAGUCGCGACAGCGCCGAAAGCAGCAACGAAGCCAUCCACGACUACGCGGAGAUCUACACGCCUAGUCGCGAGGGCGUCGCUUGGAGCACACCAGCCGUUCAGAACAACACGGCCGAGCCGCAGCAGCAGCAGCAGCAGCCGCAGCAGCAGCAGCAGGAAGUCGGUACACCCAGGCCACCAACGCCACCGUUGCAUCGAUUCCCUAGCUGGGAGGCCAAGAUUUACCAGGUUGCGGACGGAGGUCUCGGCAUCGGACCCCCAACGAACGACGAGUCCGUGCCCUCGACCACCACCAACACCACAUCGUCAAAGCACUCGCAUACCGGACACAAUCUCACCGCACACAACCUCCAGGGCUACUGCGAUAUUUCCGUUCCAGUCUACGCUACAGUCAAAGGUCGAGCUAGUCAGAUAAGAUCGAUGCCGUUCGGCGACAGUUCGGACGACAGCUCCGACGGCGAGGAGCACCAGAAUCAGACCGAGACGAACACGCGUAUCACCAACAGUUCCUCCGACAACACGGACUCGUCUCUCGGCAGCGGCAGCAGUCCAUCCAAGAGCGUCAAGACCACCAGCAGCCUCAGCCCGGCGAAGAGAAGCUCUAGCGGGUCCCCAAGUAAAAGCGUCAAACGCGACGCUUCUUUAGAGUCCGGCCUGUCGGAGGACUACGCCAUACCCCCUGACGCAUUGAGCUCGACGUCCCUCGAGUCUAGCAUGCCGAGCCUCCUGAUGCGCGUCUCGGGCGAGAGCCCCAAGAGGCUCGAGUCUCUCGAGAAGACGGGACACCUAGCAAAGCUCGGCGGCAAACUCAAGACCUGGAGGAAGCGAUACUUUAUCUUGAAGAACGGCGUGCUGUGCUACUGGAAGAGUCAGAAUGACAUCAAUCGAAAACCCCAAGGCCAGAUCCUGCUCGACGAAGUUUGCAGGAUAAACCGAGCGGAGGGCGCAGCGACGUUCGAAAUAGCGACGGGCAAGAAGACGUACUACCUGACGGCGGACUGUAUAGCCACGAUGGAGGACUGGAUCCGGGUGCUACAGAACGUUCAGAGGCGAAACGCAACGAAGCUCUUGUUGAGCAGAGAAGACAAUAAACCGACGAUACAGGGCUGGCUCACGAAGGUCAAGAAUGGCCACGCGAAAAAGUGCUGGUGCGUCCUCAUCGGCAAAAUGUUCCUUUACUUCAAGUGUCCUAAUGACAUGAAUCCGAUUGGUCAGAUAAAUAUGCGAGACGCCCGCGUCGAAGAGGUGGAACACGUCUCGGACAGCGAUAGCGAGGAGCGCGACUCGGAGUGUCCGCACGAGCAAACCAUCGGUAUUUUCCCUUCGCAUCAGGGACCCACCUACCUUCUUAUGCAGCACAAGCAAGACAAGGACAACUGGCUGUAUCACCUGACGGUCGUGUCUGGUGGUGGACCCAGUGCAGGUACGCAGUACGAACAGCUCGUCCAGAGGCUGAUGGAAACCGACGGCGAUCCUAACUGCGUGCUAUGGAGGCAUCCGUUGCUUCUGCACUCGAAGGAGAAUAUCACUAGUCCUCUGACGAGUCUAACAUCCGAGACUCUUCAGAGCGAAGCCGUCAAGUUGUUCAAGGCAGUACAGCUGUUCAUGUCGGUGGCGGUCGAACAGGCCGGUAUCGACUAUCACGUCGUGCUCGCGCAAAAUGCACUGCAGCAAUGUCUGGACCAACCGGAGCUGCAAUCGGAAUUCAUUUGCGCGCUGGUAAAACAGACGAGUCGUCACACGCAGCAUCGUUUGGGCGUACAGGUAAAAAAGGCCGCCAGACUUGUGUCGCUGGGUACUGCGCGCGUUCAACUCCUGCUGUGCGCGACGCAGUCGCUCUUCACCUGCGAUACGCAGGGCCCCGGGACAAGCGGGGCCGGCGAUAACGCGGACGCUCAGUCGACCGCAUCGACAUCUCACAGUCCUCCGCUCGCACAGGGACACUCGUCAUCGAAUCUGCUCGACUGCAAGACCAAUCCGGCACAGUACGUUCUCGUCCAAGGAUGGCAGCUGCUCGCUCUGGCCGUCUCGCUCUUCUUGCCCAGAAACAACCGGCUGCUGUGGUAUCUCAAGCUUCAUCUGCAGAGGAAUGCCGAUACGAAAACGGAAUGCGGCAAGUACGCGGCCUACUGCGAGCGAGCGUUGGAGCGAACCCUUCAAAACGGUUGUCGCGAGGUGAAGCCCUCUCGCAUGGAAGUCCUCUCGAUUCUCCUGAAGAACCCCUAUCAUCAUUCUCUGCCUCACGCGAUACCGGUACAUUUCCUCAACGGCACGUAUCAGGUCGUGAGUUUCGACGGCAGCACCACCAUCGAGGAGUUCCUCACCACCCUCAACCAAGAGAUCGGCUGCAGGGAUGUGCAUCACUCGGGAUUCACUCUGUUUAGCGACGACCCUAUCGAGAAGGAUCUCGAGCACUUUAUCGAUCUCCAGGCUAAGCUAUGUGAUAUAAUAUCUAAAUGGGAAACGGCACUGCGAGAGAAGGGCUCGGGCAAGUUCGAGAACACGAGGGUCAUACAAUUGACCUACAAGUCCCGCUGCUACUGGAGACACGCUGCAAAGAUGGAGACCGACCGCGAGAGGCUGCUACUUUGCUACCAAGUCAAUCAGCAAGUUGUGCAGGGCAAGUUUCCGCUCAAUCGCGAUUUGGCAUUUGAACUUGCGGCUCUUAUGGCCCAGAUCGACUAUGGAGAGUACAACACCGAGAAAGCUCGUGGUAGCGGACCAGGCAACAACCCCCAUCACUUAGUAUUACAAGCUUUAGAUAAAUUUUAUCCAGUCAGAUAUCGCUCAAAUAUUACUGCCGAACAAUUAAGGGAGUUGCAAGAAAAACUGCAAGAGAAGUGGAUCUCUUUGAAGGGUCGCAGUGUUUUGGACUGCGUGAGAAUUUACCUAACUUGCACCAGGAAAUGGCCGUUCUUUGGCGCAACACUAUAUCAGGCUAAGCUUAAGCAAUCCGAUCCAGCGACGGUGUGGAUCGCUGUUUCGGAAGACAGCGUUACGUUGCUCGAGCUGCAAACUAUGUCAGUAAUGUGCCGCUACAAUUACGCAAACAUCGUCACGUUCGGAGGCUGCUUGGACGAUUUUAUGCUCGUCGCGUGUCCAGAUGAAGGGGCUGCUGAGCAGAAGCUUUUAUUCGCUUUGAGCAAACCUAAAAUAUUAGAAAUUACGUUAUUGAUAGCGGACUACAUGAAUGCCUUGGGCCAUACUUUACCAGGAACGCCACAGAUGAAUACGUUAACGCGAAAUGGCUCGCAUCGAUCCAUAAAGUCGACAUUGCGAACUACAACUGGUUAACUGUGUAUUCCAAGAGUUCAGAAUUAGACGUCAAAAUUCAAACUCGAAACGGCUAUUCUAAUCUGGAAGUAUAAGGGCAGGGCAAAAUUUUAUUUUUCUUGAAAGUGCAAAAUAAAUGGGUGCCGGAAAGGGUUCAAGCUGUCUUCCUACGCAACCCGAUAUCCUCAAGUCCACGCCCGAUCACCAGCGGCCAUGAGACAGCAGCUUAAACCGUUCGGAAGAAUCCGAUUUGUUUUAUACGUGCAAACAGUCCGGCUCUAUUAGGGCUAUGCGUUACUCAAAGGUACUAAAGCAUACAUCGUAGGCGUUAUGUUAUAACACGCAUACUUUGUAAAUAAUUGAAAGAAUAAUUAACGGCGUAAUUGCUCAAACAACGCAAAAAUGCGUGACCGUACACAUACACUAUGGGAUCGCGUGUCGUGCAAACACAAAAUAUCUAAUAAGCGCAGCGUAAAAACUACUGAAGGAAAAUGAAGAUUCACUGCCUAAUUUAGAAGAAUUUUGUGACACGGGUUCGACGCAAGUUCGGAUCGAAGACUAAAAAAGGAAGGAAGAGAGAUAAUAGCCAAGCUAUAAUGUGCUCUGACGAUGUUUUUGCUACACUUCAUUUAUACUCCUCGAUGAGUAGAUGUCGAGGAGAGUCAUUGUAAAUAGUAGUGUUUAGUCUGCUGGAUGUUUAGGAAUCUAUUAGAUAAUGCGAAAAACGAGAGACUUAUGAUUGAUCGAACGUAAAAACUGAGAAAGGCUAAAGCACUUUUACAAUUUUUAAAAAACCACGUUUCGACCAUAGCAAGAUAUGAGCAUAGCGCGAAUUUUUUAGAAACGAAUUUUUGAGCCUUGAAAUAAAAAACUGUGAAUUAAUAAUAUAAAAAUUCUAGACUAGGUAGCUAGAAAUUGGUUUUUUAAAUGUGGCAAGGUAGUUUUGGGUUUUCUAAGUCAGUAUCGACAGUUCUUGCCAAAAACAUUUGGAUAAAUAUUCUUCUCAAAUUUUGUAUAUGUAUAAUUGAUAUCCACUUAUACGUGCCAUUUAUUUAUUAAUAAGUAAAAUAACGUGUGCGCAAAAUCAGAAUUUAUGUUGUCAUUAGAAAUAUUUUUAUGUUAAAAUUCAGUAGUACUUUUUAGGAAAUCUACAAAAAUGAAUCGAUGCUAGCAAAAUAUCAUAACGACGUACAUUACAUAAUGGAUGACCGCACAUACUAUAAGUGUAUAUAAAAUUAUAGAGAAACAAGGUUCAUGUUAUAUCAUAUAAAGUUUUUCACAACUAUUUAUGGUUUACAUACAAUAAAGCAAAUGUUUAUCCCUUAUAAAGAGCCCUUGCAAGUACUUGAAACUGAGAUAAAAUCCUGCUUAAAGUAGGAGCCUGCUAAUUAUCAAAAUUGUAGCAGGAUUUUUUUCGAACAUACGAUUUCGUCUGAAAACUGUCACACUCGUUUCUCGACUGAUUUUAGUUUUUUAGAAUAUAUUAUAUAUGUGAAAAUGUAUUGCCAUAAUUGCAGGGUGCCUAAAAUCUGAAUAAUGAACGUUAUAAGAAAGAAGCUAAUAUCUUUGUAAGAUUGCAACUUGAUGUGCAACGAUCGCAUCUAUUAACUUCGACGAAAAGUUUUGUUAUCCCGGUAAUAGCUAGUCUUUUUGAAUCGCUUAAUGUAUUUUUACGAAUAUUGAAGCGCAAUUAAUUUUAUUGUAAAAUAGGCGUCCAAAUAGUCAUAAAGGAUUCGAUUUUAUUUUAUAUAUGAUCAAAAUCACUUUGAAGAGGUUUAUUCCUUUGACGUAGAAUAUAUGUUUGUUACACAUUAUGUAUAGUUUUCGUAAAAACUCGUCGGAUUAAAUGUUAUACAAAGAUUUACGAGAGGUCUAUUCUCCAUAUUCGAAUGGCGAUUUUUAAAUUCUUGUUGUAUUGAAAUCAUGUAGAGUAAUACAACAUGAAAAUUUUAGUUUAAUAAUUACGUGUCGUUGGAAUGAUAUUAAAAAUGAAUUUACUAAAAACAAUCCUAACUACAUUUUAUAGAUUUUUUGCAUUUAGUACAAUUAUUUUAAGUAAUUUAUACAGACAUGUAACGGCGUUAAUUUUUUACACUUAUCACACAAAGUUUAUAUGUGGUUUACACAUUUACUCUAUGCUGUUGUGCGAACAAUGUGCGUUUAGUAAUUUUAGCAAUAGGAAGUAAGUGAUAGCGUCCUCUGGUAAAAAUGAAUAACAAAAAUGCAUGAUGCGUAUUUGAAUUAUUCAUAUUGGCCGAAUGCGAUUCAUUCAACAAUCACUUAUGUCAAAUCUCAUAACACUACAAACACGCACACAUGUUUUUUUUGACACUAAAGAAUGAGAAAUCUCGUGAGGUCGGUGUCGAUUUGUUAUAGUGGUUUUGUACACGAGUGCUUGAUAUGCCCUGAGUAACUAGUAAAAGUCUUCCUUUAUCGAAUAACCGCAAUUAAGAUAUUGUAUGUAUAGCAAAACGUAAAUAAAAACAUUGGGCUGUAGUGCAAUAUGUACAAGACUUCUAUGACAUGAUUAUAAAGAAAGAUAAGAAAAGAAAAUGAAGGACUACAAGUUUUUCACUCUUGCUUUUAAAUAAAUAACAAAAUAUCUGUACAUUUUCUGUUUGUAGAAUUUUUUUUUUUUUUUUUUUUUUUUUUUUUUUUUUUUGGAAGCAAAACCUGAAUUGGCAAACUUAACUAUAUUCAAAAUUAAAAAUAUAACAAGUAAAUUAAAAAAAAUUUUUAAACUUGGGAUUACUAGCAUAUUUAUUUCUAGUUUAGAAUGAGACAAAAAACUGUUGUAGUGUCAGGUCGAAAGGGGGCAGCAGUACAAAAAUGGAGUUGGUGAAAUUUAGGGAAAAAAUACGACACUUUGUCCUUAGUUUUUUAUAUAAGGAAGAAAUAGAGAAAGAGGAAGGCCAUUAAGUCGGUGCCUGGCACCUUUAUACACGGUAUAUUGCGAUACACGGAUAUAAGGAUGAAAAAUUUACUCAUUUUGUAUAUAAUUAAUAUUGUAUGUAAGCGAAAUAUAUAUAUAUAUACGUCGAAAUCGCAGCGCAGGCGAUAAAAAAUUAAUAUGAAAUUGCCUAUCAUGGCAUGCACUAUACGUUAUAUACAUCUUUAUUUAUUAUUUAUUUGCAACGUAAAUCAACGCUAGAGGCGUAAACAAUGUACGGCAGAAAUUAUGAUACAUUGUACCAUUGUACAAAUAGUAAAUAUAUUAUGCUCGAAUGUGUAUAAGACAGA